RNAcentral lists this ribosomal RNA (465 nucleotides) under uncultured bacterium. RNAcentral describes it as "partial 16S ribosomal RNA". It matches the Rfam family "Bacterial small subunit ribosomal RNA", at positions 338 to 795 of the family's 1533-position model. The record is from RNAcentral.
CCUACGGGCGACAGCAGUGGGGAAUAUUGCGCAAUGGGCGAAAGCCUGACGCAGCGACGCCGCGUGAGGGAUGAAGGUCUUCGGAUCGUAAAACUCUGUUAGCAGGGAAGAACGGUCACUGUGCUAAUCAGCCGUGAAUUGACGGUACCUGCAAAGGAAGCACCGGCUAACUCCGUGCCAGCAGCCGCGGUAAUACGGAGGGUGCGAGCGUUGAUCGGAAUUACUGGGCGUAAAGCGCUCGUAGGCGGUAUGUCAAGUCAAGGGUGAAAUCCCCGCGCUCAACGUGGGAACUGCCUUUGAAACUGGCAAACUGGAGUGUGUGAGAGGAUAGUGGAAUUCCAGGUGUAGGGGUGAAAUGCGUAGAUAUCUGGAGGAACAUCAGUGGCGAAGGCGACUAUCUGGCACGUAACUGACGCUGAGGAGCGAAAGCGUGGGUAGCAAACAGGAUUAGAUACCCCAGUAGUC